UGGGGUGUUAUUAAUAUUCAGUGAGACUCC
Molecule: non-coding RNA, 30 nt
Filed under: Rattus norvegicus (Norway rat)
Lineage: Eukaryota; Metazoa; Chordata; Mammalia; Rodentia; Muridae
Source: RNAcentral